CACGUAGGCGGCAAUAUAAGUCAAAGGUGAAAGCCCUCGGCUCAACCGAGGAACUGCCUUUGAAACUGUUUUGCUUGAGUCCGGGAGGGGGGAGCGGAAUUCCCAGUGUAGCGGUGAAAUGUGUAGAUACUGGGAGGAACACCGGUGGCGAAGGCGGCUCCCUGGACCGGAACUGACGCUGAGGUGCGAAAGCGUGGGUAGCAAACA
Molecule: ribosomal RNA, 207 nt
Filed under: uncultured bacterium
Lineage: Bacteria
Description: partial 16S ribosomal RNA
Rfam family: Bacterial small subunit ribosomal RNA
Source: RNAcentral